RNAcentral lists this ribosomal RNA (438 nucleotides) under uncultured bacterium. Its description in RNAcentral is "bacterial SSU rRNA". It matches the Rfam family "Bacterial small subunit ribosomal RNA", at positions 355 to 786 of the family's 1533-position model. The record is from RNAcentral.
UGAGGAAUAUUGGUCAAUGGGCGGGAGCCUGAACCAGCCAAGCCGCGUGAGGGAAGAAGGCCCUAUGGGUCGUAAACCUCUUUUGUCAGGGAACAAAAGCGAGUAUGUAUACUGGUCUGAGUGUACCUGAAGAAAAAGCAUCGGCUAACUCCGUGCCAGCAGCCGCGGUAAUACGGAGGAUGCGAGCGUUAUCCGGAUUUAUUGGGUUUAAAGGGUGCGUAGGCGGCGGUGCAAGUCAGCGGUAAAAGCCCGGGGGCUCAACCCCGGCGAGCCGUUGAAACUGCAGUGCUAGAGAAGGCGAGAGGUACGCGGAAUGCGCAGUGUAGCGGUGAAAUGCUUAGAUAUUGCGCAGAACUCCGAUUGCGAAGGCAGCGUACUGGCGCCUGACUGACGCUGAGGCACGAAAGCGUGGGGGAUCGAACAGGGGAUUUAGAUACC